This 84-nucleotide non-coding RNA is filed under the name Nostoc sp. PCC 7107. RNAcentral's name for it is "Photosynthesis regulatory RNA1". It matches the Rfam family "Photosynthesis regulatory RNA1". Rfam says of the family: Formerly known as Syr1 discovered in Synechocystis sp PCC 6803, is a regulatory factor controlling photosynthetic functions. PsrR1 interacts with the ribosome binding regions of several photosynthesis-related mRNAs. Lineage: Bacteria; Bacillati; Cyanobacteriota; Cyanophyceae; Nostocales; Nostocaceae. The record is from Rfam by way of RNAcentral.
AAUAUUUUCUAAAUUUCAGUAUUUGUAUCACUCAUCGUCAUUUCUAUUCUCCCCUUUACCUCGGUUAGUUUCGCCGAGGUUUUU